GGAAACAGUUGCUAAUACCCAAUAUGCCGAGAGGUGAAAGAUUUAUUGCCUGAAGAGGAGCUCGCGUCUGAUUAGCUAGUUGGUGGGGUAAAAGCCUACCAAGGCAACGAUCAGUAGCUGGUCUGAGAGGAUGAGCAGCCACACUGGGACUGAGACACGGCCCAGACUCCUACGGGAGGCAGCAGUGGGGAAUUUUCCGCAAUGGGCGAAAGCCUGACGGAGCAACGCCGCGUGAGGGAGGAAGGCCCUUGGGUUGUAAACCUCUUUUGUUAGGGAAGAAGAAAGUGACGGUACCUAACGAAUAAGCAUCGGCUAACUCCGUGCCAGCAGCCGCGGUAAUACGGAGGAUGCAAGCGUUAUCCGGAAUUAUUGGGCGUAAAGGGUCCGCAGGUGGCUAUGCAAGUCUGCUGUUAAAGAAUCAGGCUUAACCUGAUCAAAGCAGUGGAAACUGCGAAGCUAGAGUUCAGUAGGGGUAGCGGGAAUUCCCAGUGUAGCGGUGAAAUGCGUAGAGAUUGGGAAGAACAUCGGUGGCGAAAGCGCGCUACUGGGCUGAAACUGACACUAAGGGACGAAAGCUAGGGUAGCGAAAGGGAUUAGAUACCC
This 603-nucleotide ribosomal RNA is filed under the name uncultured Chroococcales cyanobacterium. Its description in RNAcentral is "bacterial SSU rRNA". It matches the Rfam family "Bacterial small subunit ribosomal RNA", at positions 152 to 787 of the family's 1533-position model. Lineage: Bacteria; Bacillati; Cyanobacteriota; Cyanophyceae; Chroococcales. The record is from RNAcentral.